RNAcentral lists this unclassified non-coding RNA (415 nucleotides) under Hevea brasiliensis (rubber tree). Lineage: Eukaryota; Viridiplantae; Streptophyta; Magnoliopsida; Malpighiales; Euphorbiaceae. The record is from RNAcentral.
AAAAAAUAUUCACAGGUUCCCUACAAGAUUAAAUAAUCCAAAUAUGAAUUGAUUGAUACCUACUUAAAGUAUUUGUUUAUUGAAUAAAGUUUUAUAAUCCCCUGAAGCUCAUCUAGUGGAGCAAAUGAAAACCCACUUUUCCUUAUUACUAUUAAUUAGUUAAUUAAUUAUUAUAAGCAUAGAUUAGGAAGAACAUUAAAAACAAUACAAAUCUCACAAUCAAGAAUCCAACCAUUAUCUUCCUCAAUUUGGUUCCUAUAUUCUCUGCUUUAAUUCAUACAACUUCUUUUGUUUAAAAUUAAAAUUAAAGCUAAACUCAACCUAUCAUUCAAAAUUUUAUAAAUUACUAUAAAACACGAAAUAAAUAAAUUAGUAUACCCAAAAAAAAUGUCGAUAUCGGUAAUAAAUAAACUUA